GUGAUGGAGUGUCGUGUGUGAUGUGCGUGUGCUGAAAAUGGCCGCGUAUAUCGAGGUCUUCCGAGUUUACUGAUCUACGGUUGAUAGCUUCAUACGCUUAACUUUACCUAUUUGUACGAUAGUGAAUUUCUAUCAAAGCGUGUUGGUGCGUGCUAAAUUCGAAAAAACGAUUGUCGUGCCUUUCUAUCUUAAAGUUUAAUCAAUAUUUGCGUUCUUUACAAAAAGAAAGAGAGAUAGAAAGAUAUCAUUCGUAUACAUGGAACUUGUUUCCUUGGAUCUUCAAGUCGUGAAAGAAGGAAGGUGAGAGACGGAGGACGUGCUGCAUAUUUUCAUCCCACGAACGUGUUCUCCUUAUGUUACCUUCGAUGGUCGAUAAUAUCAAACCUACUACGUUUUAAUAAUGGGUUACAUUUUCAAUAUGGAUAUUUACUUUAGUUUAUAUCAAGGUACUCAUUAAUUAAUGAGCAAACUUAUUGUUUAUCAAGAUGCGGGAGAGGUCUACUAUGAUCCCCUGGUAUCCAGCGGGGAUCUAAAUUAAACUAAGUAACAACAAAAUAGUUUGAUUGUUAUAUAAAUCAAGAUGAAAAUGGAAGUAAAAUCAUAAUAUUCAGUCUUCGAAGAAAUGAAAUCUUUAUGUACUGAAUGAGAAUUUUACUUUCAUGAAAUAUUUUUAUUUGGAUUUUUGUGGUCAUAUUAUAUACAUAAUUUAUGUACCUAAAUAUUUGAACUGUCUAUAGACAUAAUGUAAUUAUAGUGCAAGUUAAGUUUAUAUACACAAGUGCGUUGAUAAAAAGAAAUCACUAUGUCGUUUUUAUCAAAUUUAAAGAAAGCAUUCCACUUCGGUGGCAAUGACGCAAAAAAGAAAAAGUUAUAUAAUAAUAUUAAAAUGGAUUGUAAUCCAGAAGAAUUCUGGGAAAUGGUCGGCGAACUUGGAGAUGGUGCAUUUGGAAAAGUUUACAAGGCACAACAUAAACAAACUCAUCAGUUGGCUGCUGCAAAAAUGUGUGCGUUGGAAGGGGAAGACGAUCUUAGUGAUUUUAUGAUUGAAAUCGAUAUCUUGUCUGAAUGUAAACAUCCAAAUGUUGUUGAAUUACAUGAAGCAUAUUUUAUAGAAGGCAAAUUAUGGAUGUUGAUUGAAUACUGUGAUGGUGGUGCUGUAGAUUCUAUUAUGGUAGAGUUGGAGAAAGCAUUGACAGAAGGCCAAAUAUCAUAUGUGUGUCAGCAUAUGGUAAAGGGUCUAGCAUUCUUACAUAAAUCCAAAGUUAUCCAUAGGGAUUUAAAGGCGGGGAAUGUUUUAUUAACAAUGGCGGGAGGUGUCAAACUUGCCGAUUUUGGGGUAUCUGCAAAAAAUAAGCACACGUUACAGAAACAUGAUACAUUCAUUGGUACACCCUAUUGGAUGGCACCAGAAGUUGUACUAUGCGAAACAUUUAGAGAUAAUCCUUAUGAUUUCAAAGUGGACAUUUGGUCCCUUGGCAUAACUCUUAUAGAGUUUGCGCAAAUGGAGCCACCAAAUCAUGAAAUGUCUCCAAUGCGUGUCUUAUUAAAGAUUCAAAAAAGCGAUCCACCAAAGCUUGAUCAACCUGGAAAAUGGAGCAAAGAGUUUAAUGAUUUUAUUGCAAAAGCACUUAUAAAGGAUCCAUCAUCACGACCCACUGCUGAAGAAUUGUUAAGACAUCCAUUUAUAAGUAGAAAUUUGGAUUCUAAACCAAUAAGGGAUUUAUUACUUGAAUAUAAAGCUGAUGUUGUUGAAGAAGAACUUGUCGAUGAAGAAGCUGAGAAGGCCAAAAAAGCAAAAAAACACAGAGAACAGUAUCAGCGUAUUGGCUGUGCAUGCGGCUCUCCUGGGCCUCGCCAGCCCUCUCAUCCCUGUACUUGUCAGGAGCAGCGCACAUCUCAGCUUCCUUUGGAAUUGGAACAACUCGGAGAUGACUCUGCAUCUAUGCGCAGUGAUGGCGAUAUUAAAGUUGCUGAGAAAGAAAAUCUUACUCCAAUACCUAUAUCCACGAAAAAAGAGGAUAGUCACAAACGGGAGAUGAAUAGAGAUGGUGAGAAAGAAGAUAGAAGUAAGAAAUUGCGUAAAACUGAAUCGAAGGAAAAUAUGCACGCAUUGAACGAGAAAAAACAGGCACCCAAACCUCCAGCUACAGUUGAAAAUAACGAACGUAGGAUAUCUAGAGAUAAAGGUCCUGCUCCUCCACCUCCGUCGGUUCGUCAAGACAACAAAAAUGAUGAAAAAGAGAAUUGUGCCGAUCUGGCAAACAAAUCUAGUGCCAUGGAAUCGUUAGGUCAAAGUAAAGUAAAGGAUGAUAAACAAGAUCGUAAUUUAUUAUCAUCGCAAUCAGUGGGAGUAGAAAUGGAACAGCAGAAACCAAAUACUAAAGAUCAGAUAAAGAUAGGAGCGUCUAAUAAAAAACAAGAUGAAUUAGAUAACAUAGAUAAAAUUAAUUCAACAGAAACGAUUGAUAAAACGUUGUUUGCUUUGAGUAAAUCUAAAAGUAUUGAGGAGAAACCAAAAUUAAUGGAUAAUGUAAAUAUACUAACCAAAAAAUCGAGUUUAGAUGAAAAUCGAAAGUCGGCUCCUAUCAAGCCAACUUCGUCGGAGGAAUGGAUAAAGCCAGUGUAUAAUAAGCAAUCAUCUCUUGAAGAGAAGAGCAGGUUCCAAUUAGACACUUCGAUAGAAGAACAACGUAAAUAUGAGAAACAUUUAAUAGAAGAUAACAUGAAAAAUUUGGAACAAAAAAGAAAGUCUGUAGAAGAUAAACUAAAUGCAGUUUUAGAAAAACGUAUUUCUAUGGAUACACAGAAAAGGAUAAGCACUACAUCGAUUGAAACAUUGAAGCAUACAUCUGAUAUAGCAAAUGUUACGUUAUCAGAAAAGAAUAGCAUGAAAGCAAGCUCUACAGAAAAUAUUAAGACGGAUUAUGGCCUGAAUAAAAUUGAAAAUGUUUUGACUAGUCAUAGCGAAGGUUCUUCCAGAAAUGAUUCUUUAGAAAACUUUACUGAUGAAUUCCAAGAUAAACAUGAGAGAACAAAAUGGUUAAAUAAGGAACACAGAUUAAAAGAAGAUAAUAGAGAAGAUAAAAAUUAUGAGCGCCAGAGUUCUGCUGUUAAUGUAUCUGUAAUAACAUCGACACCAAUUAGAAGUAGAAGUACGUCUCGAAGGAGUAGUGCGGAUAACAUAGUUGUUAUUACUGGUAAAUCUCAAGGCGAACAAGAAGUACGUUCCAAUAGAUCAACAGUUCGCAUUACAGCUGAUUCUCCGGAUCCAUCUAAUAGUCUUGCAAGUAAUGUAAGUCAAGUUACCGUUGUCACUACACAUCCUCCAGUGUUAGUGGAUGCAACAGCUACAACUCCUUUACUAAGACGUUCUUCCCCUACAUCUGAAGUAGUUAUUGUUGCAAACGAAACCAAUAAAACCCAAGUUAACGAAAAUUCGACCGACGAGGAUGGUUUCCCUAGUCUAGAUAGUUUGGAAUAUACUCCACAGGAACAACCCAUUAUUCUUAUGGAUACCUCCAAACGUGUUGGUAAAAAGUUAGACGAGUCUGAAGUUAUUAUCGUCAGUCCUAUUGUUGAUGAAUUACAAGAUACUAGUCAUGUCUCUGUUGUUACUGUCGGUGACGAUGGAGAACGAGUAAAAGAUUCUUCUAUAAGUAAUAAACAUAACGUCGUUAGAACUGGUUCUUCACACAGCAAUUUGAGUUUGAUCGAACAGGCAAGUUCGAAAAGCGAUAGUGGUGAUGAAAUAAGUAAAACGUCGAUGACAGUUACAGGAACAACUACUGAUAGAACGGAUCUUAACGACGUUGAAAGAAAUUCGAAGAAGAUGAAUGGUUUAAUUAAAAAUGAAAGGCCAGCUGUUGGACAUCGUAUCGAAGACAGAGUUGUAACAUCGGCAAAACAAAAAGAUGAUUACGUAAGAAGUUCGAAAGAUAAACGUGUAUCACCGGAUAGUUUUGAAGGGUCAAGAUCGCAGAGUGAUUCAGGAUCAACGAGAUCGCAUACACCAAGUAAAAGCCUUGAUCGUUCUGAUGCCGAAUCAAUUUCCACGACAAUAAGCCAAGAUAGUCGAGGUUCGAAUAAAGAAAAUCAUUUAUCUCACGUUCAAACUACGGAAGGUGAAGAGGAAGUUGUUCUGCGUCGAAAAUCUGAUUAUAGUCGGGAUGUAUCUCGAACACCUAGAACGAAGGAAGAUAUACAAAUGAUGAAUUUGAAGAAGAAAACGAGAAAACGAACAAGGAAAUUUGAAAUCGAUGGUGUUGUUGUUACAACGACUACAUCCAAAGUUAUAUAUGGCGAUGAUGAAAAUGGUAAAGUCUAUGACGAUCAAAUAUUCCGGAAACAAGAAUUACGCGAAUUAAAAAUGUUACAAAAGAGUGAACAAAAACAGUUUCAAGAUCUAUCACAGAAAUCACAAUUCAACAAAGAUCAACAAGAGAAACGGUUUGAACAAGAAAGACAAUUGCUGGAACGUGGUGCUGAAGGAGAUUUAGAAACGCUCGCUAGACAACAAAGGCAACAAAUUGAGCGUGCAGAAGCUCAACAAGAAGCUGAUCUUAGACUGGCAUCAAAAAAGAUUCGUAGCGAACAAGAGAGAGAAUUGAAACAAUUCCGUGAAGGUUUAAAACAAGAAUUACGAUUACUCAAACAAGAGGUUGACUUAAUGCCUAAGGAAAAAAGAAAGGGAGCUUUUAAAGUACGAAAAGAAAAACUUGAGGCUGAACACGAGGAAAGAGAAAAACUUUUCUUAGAAAAACUUAAUGAAAGUCAUGAGAUGUCAUUGCGAAGAUUAUCGGAUAGUCAUCGAGAAAAAAUAGCUUUAAUGGAAAGACAGUUUCUACAACAGAAACAGCAAAUGAUGAGAGCUCGAGAAGCAGCUAUUUGGGAGCUGGAAGAAAGACAGAUACAUGAAAGACAACAAUUGCUAAAGAGACAACUUAAGGAUAUAUUCUUCUUGCAGCGACAUCAGAUGCUUAUUAGACAUGAAAAGGAAUUAGAACAAAUGAAAAGAAUGAAUCAGAGGAAGGAAGAUGAAUUAAUAAAGCGUCAAACGGUAGAGCGUAGGAACCUGCCUAAAAGGAUUCGAAAUGAGAUGAAAGCACGCGAGAUGAUGUUUAGGGAGUCCAUGAGAAUUUCAAUGUCUUCUGCAAUUGCUUCGGAUCCUGAAGCUGAAAGAGAGAAAUUGAAGAAGUUCCAAGAGAAUGAGAAAAAAAGGUAUAGAGCGGAACAACAAAGAUUUGAAUUGAAACAUUCACGUCAACUCGAAGAAGUUAGAGCUCAAAGUGAUGCUACCAUCAAGGAAUUAGAACAACUACAGAAUGAAAAGAGAAAAAUGCUGAUGGAGCAUGAGACAUUGAAGUUAAAAGAACAAGAAGAAACAUAUAGCAAAGAACUUCGCGAGUGGAAGGCACAAUUGAAACCACGAAAACAGGAUUCUUACGUGGGUAUCUAAUAGCAAACAUGCUAAUUUGUAAUUGUAGUCCUUGCUCAUAAAUAUUCCCACAAGAACCUUUAUAAAAGAAAACUAUAAAGAGAUACCACAGUCGGAUUUGAAAAGAAGUAUUAUAAAGGUUAUUGAAAGAGACUUGAAGAACAAUUUGCUCUUCAAUUAGAAGAACAAGAGGCAAUUUAUGGACCUAGUGCGAUUCCAUUAUGUUUACCAGCAGACCUU
Molecule: unclassified non-coding RNA, 5674 nt
Filed under: Polistes dominula (European paper wasp)
Lineage: Eukaryota; Metazoa; Arthropoda; Insecta; Hymenoptera; Vespidae
Description: serine/threonine-protein kinase 10, transcript variant X3
Source: RNAcentral